RNAcentral lists this long non-coding RNA (2315 nucleotides) under Medicago truncatula (barrel medic). Its description in RNAcentral is "lncRNA gene47759". The record is from RNAcentral. Lineage: Eukaryota; Viridiplantae; Streptophyta; Magnoliopsida; Fabales; Fabaceae.
GAAGAAACCCUCUAACCCCUACAACACCCAGUGAAGUAACGCGAAACCCAAGAAUGGUUGAUUGCACUCCAGAUCUACCAUUUCUAUUUCCCCACUGUUAUCUUGCGAGAAGGAAACGUUGAAGUAGAAGCUGGUGUGGAUGAUUCAACUCCAACAUGCAUGCAUUACUGUCGCUUUUUUGCCAAGAAAAUUCUUAGGAUUUACAAGGCAUGACAACGCUGUUGGGCGCUCCAUCUUAUAUAUGAAUGGGCAUGAUGACAUUGUCUGGCUGCUAUUACGGUUGCAGCAAGGAAGAGAUCAUUGAAAUAACGAAGACUUUCAACUUAGCGAAACAAAUUACAUUGAAAUUGAAUUGAGUUAUAGAUUCCGAAGAAAGGCUCUAACCCGACAAUACCCAGUCAAGUAACCCAAAACCCAAGAAUGGUUGAUUACACUCCUGAUCUACCAUUUCCAUUUCCCCACUGUUCAUUAUGUGAAGAAGAAGCAGCUGUGGUGGAUGAUUCAACCUCAACAUGCAUGCAUAACUCUCGCUUUCAUACAAAAAAAAGGAUUUACAAGGCAUGACAACGCUGCUGGACGCUCCAUCUUAUAUAUGAAUGGGCAUGAUGACAUUGUCUGGCUGCUAUUAGGGUUGCAGCAGGGAAGAGAUCAUUGAAAUAGCAAUGACUUUCUAAUUAGUUCGGAGUUGCUUGAGCAGGCACAGAUGCACGUUCAUGUAAUUGGGGGCACAAUAAUGGUUGAUUACACUCCAGAUCUACCAUUUCCCUAUUGUUGUUUUGCGAGAGGGAAACGUUGAAGAAGGAGAACAAUAAGCUGUGGUGGAUGAUUCAACUCCAACAUUCAUGCAUUACUUUCGCUUUCAUACAAAAAGGUACAUUUUCUUUGAUGUAAAUGCAUAUGGUUUGAAGGUUUUUGAUGUUUAAACUUAAAAUGGUUUCUGGAGAGGCAUGCCACACCUUUUCUAAUUACUUCUGAGGAAAUUUAUUUAGAUAUGCCUGUCCAUGGUGGAGAGAGAUUGACUCUUAGAAAGAACAGUCGUCUAAGUCCUGAGGAAACUAUAGUACUUCGAGUCUUGGACAUCAAAUGAUGAAUAGAUGUCUUCGAUGUUAAAAUGGUUUGAGGCGAAGCAUGCUACUCAUGUUCUAAUAAGUAAUAACUUCUUAGCUAUGCAGAUAUGCUUGCCAUGGUGGAAAGAGAAAGACUCUUGAGUAGAAAAGGGCACUUAAUUCCUGACGAAGCUUCAACACUGUUGGAUAUCAAUUUACUGCCGGGGGUUUAUACUAAGCAGAGAGAAGAACGGACGCCUCAGAAAGCCUUCCCAAAUCUACUUUGUGAAUUUUCGCCAUUGUUUUCCAAAACUGAAACUGGCUUAUCUGCAUUAAGUCAAUAGGUUUAGAAGAAGCCAUUGUCCGAUCCUCCCUCAGAACAUGAUCCUUUGAGCUAUUCGUAUGUAGUGGCUGUAUGGGUUUAAAAAAUUUCACACAACUCACCCAAGCCCAAUACUCAAAGAAGCCCAAAAUGCUUCAUUUCAAGCCUAACAUUCCCCACUCAAAGCAAAUGCCACAAAUCUAUUUCGCUUUAAUUACAAAGGAAAAUGUUGAAGAGGAAGUGGUAGAUGGUUGAGCUCGACCAUUACUGUAAAUUUUUAAGAUAUACAUAAACAGAAAACUGGAGGAUCCAGUACUCUCCUAUCUUUAACGUUGGGAAGAGAUCUUGAAUUAACAAAAAUGUCGAAGCAUCUGCCUUUCAUCUUAUUAAAACAAAUCGUACUAGACUUGCAGAACCUUGGUAUUUGCAACAAAUCAUUCUGCUCCACACAUGAUAGCAUGUAUAUCAAUCUUAAAGUCUAAGUAGAUAUGAUUCUCUAUGGUGGUGGGAAGAGAGAGAGAACUCUGAGAAGGAAAGGGCACUUGACUCCUGAGGAAACUACAACUACGAGCCUUGGCCAUCAAUUGAAAUAUUCAACUUUUCAUUUUGAUGUGGAAAUUUAAUAAAUCUAAGAAUUGAAGUUUUGGGUAAAAUCCUUCCCAAAUCUAGUUUGAGAUCAAACUUGCUUCAUGAUGGGGUUUAGAUGGCUACUUCAUGGCGGGAAUGUGCAGUAUUGAAGGAAAUUAACUCACUGAUGACCAGAGACUUUGUAUUUCAUUUUUCAUUAUUGAACCGUAGUUUUUAGUUUUUACGUUAUUCAGUUGCUCUUUAAACAUAUUAAGGUGAAUUCUGUAAUAUGAGAAGAGUAAAAUAAGAUUUUCUAUGCCAUAAAGUUUUCCAUAUUCAUACAAUUAUAUUUUAUCGUUGUUCCAAUUUAUUUUUUAAAU